This is a long non-coding RNA of Macaca mulatta (Rhesus monkey), 464 nucleotides long. RefSeq lists it as uncharacterized. NCBI's taxonomy places the organism in Eukaryota, Metazoa, Chordata, Mammalia, Primates, Cercopithecidae. The record is from RefSeq and is a predicted model, not a curated record.
ACGGGAGGGACGGGAGUGAGGUUCUUACCAGGAUUUCGCCCAGCUCGUCCUCAUCGCAGUCAGCAGGCUCCUUCCCCAGGCGGGCUCUGGUUGGCUAGCACAGAGACACAGAUGUGUCACAAGAAGGAGCCUCGCGUGUGGGACAAGGUGACAGCAGUGCGUCCACCCCGUGUGAGCUGGAGGAAGGUGCUGCCAAGAGCUCAUGCUUUCUCCUUGGGAAGGCCGUGGCAGCCUCUGAUCUGGAGACAAACGACCGUGUGCACGGCCUGCUCACUUUCCCACCUGCCCUGUCUCUUGGGCACUGCUUUACAGUCCUCAGCUAUGACCCCUGGGUGACGUGCCCCUGCCGCACAGCCAUGACCCCUGGGUGACCCCUGGACGACCUGCCCCCGCCGCACCAGGAUGAGCUGGAUCUCGUCCCUGUCACACUUCACGUGGUAAAGGACCAUGUCCUGUGCGAUGUC